UUUAGAGAGCAGGCAUUCUUUAAUUGCGGCGCCGGAUGCACAGGGGAUCACUCCACAUGGUGUGCGCGAUGAAUUGUCCAGGCUACAGGGGUUAUGUACAGUCAAAGCAUAUGUAUUCAUUCGUUUUCCAAAAAUAAAAAAUAAAAAAUUAAUAUAUGCACGUUAUUUCCGAGAACUCGUUUAAGUAAGCACGCGUGUUUGCUUCUGCUGGUGGUCUUUCAGGUUCUUCCCAUGUUCGUUGCUGGGGGUGUUUAAGGAAAGGUUGGAUGUGGUGCUUAGGGACAUGGUUCAGGGGGUGACAUUGGUGGUAGGGGGAUGGUUGGACCAGAUGAACUUGAAGGUCUUUUCCAACCUUAAUGAUUCUAUGAUAGUCAACUUAGGCAUGCAUGCUAAGCUAGGUCAUACAGACAUCCAAGGACUUGCAUACCACGAGUUCCUCACCUAUCUUUUCAGACACAUCCUCCAGCCUUGGGUCAUCAUUAACACACAGAGAGCUUCUAAACUUCUUUUUAACUAAACAUAGUAAAGGUUUGGCCUCUCUGUUCAUAAAACAUCCCAGAUUUGGCUCCGUUAUUCUAUCAGCGAGAGAUCCGUCCGUCAGCCCGGGGUGCGCAGCGAGGGCGGGCGGCCGGCCCCGGGGGAGGCGCUGGGGGUGGUGCUGAGGCGGCCCGGUGUCCCCCGGCACCAGCACCGCCACGCCCCGGGGGUACAAAGAGCCGGGGUGCUGAGCCCGGAGCCGCCAUCUGGUGGUGGAGGAAGAGGAGGAGGACGAGGGGGUGCUGGGGGCCGGUGUGUGAGACACAGAUGUUGCUGCGGGAUUGAUCACAGGUGUGGAGCACAGACAACCUCUGCAAGAACCAUCUUCUUCGAGACCAGAGGACUAAUGACAUCUGUCUGCGAACUGACGGUCCUUGCUGGGAUGAGGUACUCGGACAGCCAGACAGCAUGCAGAAGGACGCCGAGAAACCGGAAAGCAGACAACAAAUUGCAAGUUGAUGGAUCACCCUAGAAAAUAAGGAACUGUUAGAAUCAGAGACCAAUAGCAAAUUGUUGACUGUACAUUAUUGGUAUGACAUUUACACGGAUGGGUCACCAAAAGCUAAUGCUAUGCAGCAUGUGAUCACAUAAUCCUGUACUUGCUACUGGUUAUGACAGCAUUGUCCUUUAUCCUUCUGUACAUGCUCUGCUUCUUUCAAAAGGAAGGAGCGCACCGACAUGCCCAGGUGAACAUCUCACAUACGCUGCUGUCCUAACCGCCGUGGUGGUUUCCAGCCGGAAGGGAUUGAGCUUACGAGCAUCCAGAGUGGUCUGCACGUCCUUGGAGAAGGUCAGUCAGGCCAGGGGGUGACUUGUGAGUGAGAAGUCCCGCUGGAGCACACGGCCCUGGCAGCGAGUGGCCUAGGGCAGUGCAUGGCCGAAGUGUGGAAAACAGGCACUUCUGCUGCAGCUCUCGGGUGUGUGAGCUGCCAGACAAGGUCUUGCUAGUGCUUGGUUUGAGCUUGCAGAAGGAUCAAGGCUAAAGUGGAGUAGUUGUGUCUAAUAAUUAAAUGAAGAUAAACCCAGUGGGAAAACAACCAGGCGAGGGGGGACAUGAGGAGCCGGGCUGCCUGCAGCAGGUAUCCCCGUCUGUAGCACUGUAUAAGGCUGUGCUUGCCUCAGUAAUGGUGUCAUGAAAAAUACAUUUAGGUAUGGCGAUAGCAAAACUGGGACCAGUGGGGAGAAAGUUGGGGGCAGGCUGUUUAUUUAGGAGGGAUUCGGGUGGGGGAGAGGCAAUGCGAGGGUGACAAA
Molecule: long non-coding RNA, 1788 nt
Organism: Anser brachyrhynchus (Pink-footed goose)
Lineage: Eukaryota; Metazoa; Chordata; Aves; Anseriformes; Anatidae
Source: Ensembl